CGGUGGCUAAUACCGCAUAAUGCCUACGGGCCAAAGUGUGGGACCUUCGGGCCCACAUGCCAUCAGAUGAACCCAAGCGAGAUUAGCUAGUUGGUGAGGUAACGGCUCACCAAGGCGACGAUCUCUAGCUGUUCUGAGAGGAUGAUCAGCCACACUGGGACUGAGACACGGCCCAGACUCCUACGGGAGGCAGCAGUGGGGAAUAUUGGACAAUGGGCGCAAGCCUGAUCCAGCCAUGCCGCGUGUGUGAAGAAGGCCUUCGGGUUGUAAAGCACUUUCAGUGGUGAGGAAGGCGUUGUAGUUAAUAGCUGCAACGAUCGACGUUAGCCACAGAAGAAGCACCGGCUAACUCCGUGCCAGCAGCCGCGGUAAUACGGAGGGUGCGAGCGUUAAUCGGAAUUACUGGGCGUAAAGCGCACGUAGGCGGCUUGUUAAGCAAGAUGUGAAAGCCCAGGGCUCAACCUUGGAAUUGCAUUUUGAACUGGCAAGCUAGAGUUUUGAAGAGGGUGGUAGAAUUUCCAGUGUAGCGGUGAGAUGCGUAGAUAUUGGAAGGAAUACCAGUGGCGAAGGCGGCCACCUGGUCAAAAACUGACGCUGAGGAGCGAAAGCGUGGGGAGCAAACAG
RNAcentral lists this ribosomal RNA (624 nucleotides) under uncultured bacterium. RNAcentral describes it as "bacterial SSU rRNA". It matches the Rfam family "Bacterial small subunit ribosomal RNA", at positions 157 to 775 of the family's 1533-position model. The record is from RNAcentral.